CUGAAGAAACUCAAACUUCUCUCAACACAAUUGUCAGGAGUUCUGCGUGCACAUCGUGGAGAGCAACAGGACAUGGUGACCUGAUUGGAAGCUCACCUUGCAGUCAUUUUUGCAGGUGACAUCCCUUACUAGUAACUGAAGAAGCCCUUGCAAACCCACCAAAAAGGAGGAG
Long non-coding RNA from Grus americana (Whooping crane), 172 nucleotides. RefSeq lists it as uncharacterized. The record is from RefSeq and is a predicted model, not a curated record. The transcript is spliced from 3 exons. NCBI's taxonomy places the organism in Eukaryota, Metazoa, Chordata, Aves, Gruiformes, Gruidae.